UUUAUGGAGAGUUUGAUCCUGGCUCAGGAUGAACGCUGGCGGCGUGCCUAAUACAUGCAAGUCGAGCGAACGGACGAGAAGCUUGCUUCUCUGAUGUUAGCGGCGGACGGGUGAGUAACACGUGGAUAACCUACCUAUAAGACUGGGAUAACUUCGGGAAACCGGAGCUAAUACCGGAUAAUAUUUUGAACCGCAUGGUUCAAAAGUGAAAGACGGUCUUGCUGUCACUUAUAGAUGGAUCCGCGCUGCAUUAGCUAGUUGGUAAGGUAACGGCUUACCAAGGCAACGAUGCAUAGCCGACCUGAGAGGGUGAUCGGCCACACUGGAACUGAGACACGGUCCAGACUCCUACGGGAGGCAGCAGUAGGGAAUCUUCCGCAAUGGGCGAAAGCCUGACGGAGCAACGCCGCGUGAGUGAUGAAGGUCUUCGGAUCGUAAAACUCUGUUAUUAGGGAAGAACAUAUGUGUAAGUAACUGUGCACAUCUUGACGGUACCUAAUCAGAAAGCCACGGCUAACUACGUGCCAGCAGCCGCGGUAAUACGUAGGUGGCAAGCGUUAUCCGGAAUUAUUGGGCGUAAAGCGCGCGUAGGCGGUUUUUUAAGUCUGAUGUGAAAGCCCACGGCUCAACCGUGGAGGGUCAUUGGAAACUGGAAAACUUGAGUGCAGAAGAGGAAAGUGGAAUUCCAUGUGUAGCGGUGAAAUGCGCAGAGAUAUGGAGGAACACCAGUGGCGAAGGCGACUUUCUGGUCUGUAACUGACGCUGAUGUGCGAAAGCGUGGGGAUCAAACAGGAUUAGAUACCCUGGUAGUCCACGCCGUAAACGAUGAGUGCUAAGUGUUAGGGGGUUUCCGCCCCUUAGUGCUGCAGCUAACGCAUUAAGCACUCCGCCUGGGGAGUACGACCGCAAGGUUGAAACUCAAAGGAAUUGACGGGGACCCGCACAAGCGGUGGAGCAUGUGGUUUAAUUCGAAGCAACGCGAAGAACCUUACCAAAUCUUGACAUCCUUUGACAACUCUAGAGAUAGAGCCUUCCCCUUCGGGGGACAAAGUGACAGGUGGUGCAUGGUUGUCGUCAGCUCGUGUCGUGAGAUGUUGGGUUAAGUCCCGCAACGAGCGCAACCCUUAAGCUUAGUUGCCAUCAUUAAGUUGGGCACUCUAAGUUGACUGCCGGUGACAAACCGGAGGAAGGUGGGGAUGACGUCAAAUCAUC
RNAcentral lists this ribosomal RNA (1212 nucleotides) under Staphylococcus aureus. RNAcentral's name for it is "bacterial SSU rRNA". It matches the Rfam family "Bacterial small subunit ribosomal RNA", at positions 1 to 1194 of the family's 1533-position model. The record is from RNAcentral. Lineage: Bacteria; Bacillati; Bacillota; Bacilli; Caryophanales; Staphylococcaceae.